GAUGAAGAACGAAGCGAAAUGCGAUAAGUAAUGUGAAUUGCAGAAUUCAGUGAAUCAUCGAAUCUUUGAACGCACAUUGCGCCCGCCAGCACUCUGGCGGGCAUGCCUGUUCGAGCGUCAUUUCAACCAUCAAGCCCCCAGGGGCUUGUGCUGGGGCCCUGCGGCUGCCCGCAGGCCCUGAAAACCAGUGGCGGGCUCGCUAGUCACACCGAGCGCAGUAGCACAUCUCGCUCAGGGCGUGCGGCGGGCUCCUGCCGUGAAACCCCCCACUGUAACCCCAAAGGUUGACCUCGGAUCAGGUAGGAAUACCCGCUGAACUUAAGCAUAUCAAUAAGCGGAGGA
RNAcentral lists this unclassified non-coding RNA (342 nucleotides) under soil metagenome. Its description in RNAcentral is "partial contains 5.8S ribosomal RNA, internal transcribed spacer 2, and large subunit ribosomal RNA". The stretch from base 1 to 120 matches the Rfam family "5.8S ribosomal RNA", at positions 35 to 154 of the family's 154-position model. The record is from RNAcentral.